This 377-nucleotide ribosomal RNA is filed under the name Indoartemon medius. RNAcentral describes it as "partial large subunit ribosomal RNA". It matches the Rfam family "Bacterial large subunit ribosomal RNA", at positions 1832 to 2597 of the family's 2925-position model. The record is from RNAcentral. Lineage: Eukaryota; Metazoa; Mollusca; Gastropoda; Stylommatophora; Streptaxidae.
AGCUAUAUGUUUUUAUAUUUAGUUUUUUCUGCCACGUGAUUAUUUAACGGCCGCAGUACUUUGACUGUGCUAAGGUAGCAUAAUCAAUUGACUUUUAAUUGAAGUCUGGAAUGAAUGAAAAAUUGGGGAAAUUCUGUCUUUUAAAUAAUUUUAAAAAAUUACUUUUAAGGUGAAAAUACCUUAAAUUUUAAAAAAGACGAGAAGACCCUUAGAGUUUUUUUGUUGGGGUGACAUUUAAGCAAACCUUAUUUUCUGGAAAAUUAAACUACCUUAGGGAUAACAGCAUAAUUUUCUAAAAAGAUUGUGACCUCGAUGUUGGACUAGGAAAUUUAUAAUUAGAAAUUAAAAUUAAUGGUUCUGUUCGAACUUAUUCUCCU